Molecule: ribosomal RNA, 253 nt
Filed under: uncultured bacterium
Lineage: Bacteria
Description: partial 16S ribosomal RNA
Rfam family: Bacterial small subunit ribosomal RNA
Source: RNAcentral
UACAGAGGUCUCAAGCGUUGUUCGGAUUCACUGGGCGUAAAGGGCGCGUAGGCGGCGCGCUAAGUCAGGUGUGAAAUUUCGGAGCUUAACUCCGAAACUGCAUUUGAUACUGGCGUGCUUGAGGACUGGAGAGGAGACUGGAAUUCACGGUGUAGCGGUGAAAUGCGUAGAGAUCGUGAGGAAGACCAGUGGCGAAGGCGGGUCUCUGGACAGUUCCUGACACUGAGGCGCGAAGGCCAGGGGAGCAAACGGG